AUGGCGAUUCUCAUGGCCGUCGAUCAGUGGCGUCCUUACCUGCACACAGACGAGUUCAUCAUCCUUACUAAUCAACUUAGCCUGAUCCACCUCGAUGACCAGCACCUGUCGACACCCUGGCAACAAAAAGCAUUCACAAAGUUGUUGGGUAUGAGAUACACGAUCUGCUACAGAACCGGAGCCUCCAACACGCUGCUGACGCACUCUCUCGGCGCACUCUAG
Molecule: ribosomal RNA, 222 nt
Filed under: Triticum aestivum (bread wheat)
Lineage: Eukaryota; Viridiplantae; Streptophyta; Magnoliopsida; Poales; Poaceae
Description: partial small subunit ribosomal RNA
Source: RNAcentral